Molecule: ribosomal RNA, 330 nt
Filed under: Shigella dysenteriae
Lineage: Bacteria; Pseudomonadati; Pseudomonadota; Gammaproteobacteria; Enterobacterales; Enterobacteriaceae
Description: bacterial SSU rRNA
Rfam family: Bacterial small subunit ribosomal RNA
Source: RNAcentral
AAAUUGAAGAGUUUGAUCAUGGCUCAGAUUGAACGCUGGCGGCAGGCCUAACACAUGCAAGUCGAACGGUAACAGGAAACAGCUUGCUGUUUCGCUGACGAGUGGCGGACGGGUGAGUAAUGUCUGGGGAACUGCCUGAUGGAGGGGGAUAACUACUGGAAACGGUAGCUAAUACCGCAUAAUGUCGCAAGACCAAAGAGGGGGACCUUAGGGCCUCUUGCCAUCGGAUGUGCCCAGAUGGGAUUAGCUAGUAGGUGGGGUAACGGCUCACCUAGGCGACGAUCCCUAGCUGGUCUGAGAGGAUGACCAGCCACACUGGAACUGAGACAC